UCCCCGUGCAGUUCUAAGUGAGGGAGCGACGGAAAGGCUGGUGCCAUGAACCGUGGUAGACGUGGAAAGCCACACUCCAGAAGACCCAGCUGACCAAUUCCCUUUUGUCUGGCGAGCAUUAAAGUCACCCAGCACAGCACGUUGUUCUGCUUAAAGAGGGAAAAAUGCUCAUUAAAAAAAAAAAAGAAACGAAAUCAAAGGACUUUAGCCACCUCAUGGUAUAAUAGGAUCUUUUUUUCUACCCUGAUCGUGGGAGAGAAAAAACCUAAUCUAAAAUUUCAGCUGCACACGUUGAUUAGCCAGAAUUCCGCCUGAAGUUCUGGAGGCAACAGACGGGAAUCCUCUGGCUGUAUGGAUGCAAAAAUGGAGCAUGAGUUGAUAUGACAGCCAGGAAUUUAGCUCAAGGAGACUGCUCAGUCUGAGGACAGGCUUGGUUAGUUUUGUGGGGGGAAGCACUCCUAGUGCUAGGACCUGACCCGGCUCCAUCUCAGACCUCGCUGUGGCAUAAGGAGCCCACCAAAGAGCUUCUCCUCCCCCGAACUGUGGGACAUUUUAACUCAGCUCCUACUUACCCAGAGCCAGUCACCUGGAGACACUUGGGCAGACCGGUCAGAUAGCGCCAGACACACAAAACGGAGGAGCAGGGGGGAUACCGGAGCAGAGAACAGGGGUUAAUUUUAAAUAUGCAUCAGAUCGCCCGUCCUAUUCCCAUACCUGGCUCUCGCCCGCUUGUGGUGCACGGGGACGCCAAUCGCUCCGCUCUCUACCUUAGGUUUUGCACGUGGGUGAAAAGUGCUCUGCGGUGUGUGUGAGUGUGAGAAUCAGAAUCAGGCCAGGGCCGGAGUGAUGCAGCCAGCCAACCACCAUGGCAAAACACAAAUAAACAUUCGCACGCGAGCACACACACACACACGAUGGGACUGAACAGAUUCCCUCAGCGAGGUUGCAAAAGGUGACUUUGGAGGACAUCUCCCCAGUGAGAUGCAAUUAGAUGCAACAGGGAGCUGGUACCGGGUUAGCGGUUGGCACAGGGGAACCAGGAUGAAUCUCCCCCCACCUCUUUUGAUAAAGUUCACACAGACCCCUGGCCUCUUUUCAGCUGCUUCGAAAGGGGCAACGAUCUGGCCCAGCAAACCUGCUCUGGAAGGAACUGGGACCGGGUGGGGUUUGUUCGGGGGUUCUUUACGUCGAGUUUACACUGGGUUUCUUUACCGCCUUCACUCCUGCAGCUGGUGCCCCCUCACAAUCGACAUGUGUCACCUGCUUGGGAACAGGAUGGUUCCCCUCGGGGCCCGAUCCUACUUCUCGGGCCCUAUAGCAAAAACUCCCCUUUUCUCUGACUAAGGGAAGGAGAGAAAGUUGGUGUUUUGGGAGAAACGAAAAUUAAGCUGCGAAAUCGCUGUAUUUAUUUUUUAAAAAAUUUUCCUCAAUCGUUAGUUUAUAGGAAAAAAAAGCAGUUUCUCCUUUGGUAUCUGAA
Molecule: long non-coding RNA, 1477 nt
Organism: Gopherus evgoodei (Goodes thornscrub tortoise)
Lineage: Eukaryota; Metazoa; Chordata; Testudines; Testudinidae
Exons: 3
Source: RefSeq, a predicted model, not a curated record